UGCAUUUUCUCUUAUUCAUUUCUUUAAGUGAAUCUAGCUGGCUGAGGCAGCAUAUACCUGUAACCCCAGCACUCAGGAGGCGAAGGUAGGAGAAGACAAGAAUGUAAGUGCUGGGCCGCCUAGCACUGUCUCCAUACACAAAUCAAAUGAGUAACUUGCCUUAGGGCUUGUUUUUGUGGCGCACGCGUGUCUGUGUGUGUACAUGCGUGUGUAUGUGUGUGUGCAGGCGCCUGUACAUGUGUGCAUACCUGUAGGAGCCAGAGGAAAAUCUGGCAGUCAUUUAGACUGCUGUGUACCUUGUUUUGUUUUGUGUGUGUGUGUGUGUGUGUGUGUGUGUGUGUGUGUGUGUGUGUCAGAAUCUCUCUGGCUUUGAGCAAGCCUUAGUAUCAACAAGAGCGACAUGAGGGGCGGACGAGAUGGCUAAGCCUUUAAGAGCACUCACUGCUCUGACAGAGAUUCCGAGUUUGGUUUCAGCCUCUAUGUCAGAUGGCUCACAAGUGCCUGUAACUAGAGUCUCAGGGCAUUUGACCAUCCCUCUGGCCUCUUCAGGCACCUGCAGGCACGCACACAUGCACGCAUGCGCACACGCGUACAUGCGCACACAUAAACACACACACACAAACACACACACACACAGGCAUGCAUGCACACACACACGUGCAAAUAAAAAAUUAAAAAAUAAACUGAAUUUUAAAAGAUCUACACCAGACAUGAACAAUACACGACUCCGUUAUUUACAGGCUAGGACAGGGGCUUUAAAAACAAUGUUAAAAGUUAUUAUUAAUAUGGAUAUCUGUGGUUAUUGUCAACCUGACUGCUGUUCAUGAGUCACACCCCUGGAUGCCUUUGAGGUUGUUCCCACACAAUCUUAACUGAGGAAGGAUUGGGGCACCCACUGGUGGCUCUAUGAGCUGGGGCCUUGGGCUGCGUAAAGAGAGGUGGCCAGCUGACUACGGGCACUCACCUCUUGCCUACCAGCCAGCCAACCUGAUGAGCUAGCCACAAGGACUAUCUCCAAGUACAAAGUAGAUGCUAUUUAAGCGGCUACAACUACAGCUUCGCUGCCUCCUCACUGUGGAAGCCACGUGACAGCUGUCUGCCACCCUGAUGUUAGACAUCCACGGCCGUGAGGGACUAUGCCUUCAAACUCUAAGCCGAUACAAGCUUUUCUUUCCUUAAGUGGCCUCUGUCAGAUAACACAUCACAGCAGCAAUAAAAGUAUACAAUACACCAUCAUUUGACUUUUAAUUCAAGAACACUGCCUCUCUCUGGGGAGUCCACCUCUAACUCUUUGAUCCACUUUCUGAAUUAUUCCCAUAGAGAACUUGGGACUGCCUACUCUCUAUUUACUCAGUAAAAAUCAAAUUGUUUUUAAUGGAUCUUUCCUCAAAUCUCCAGUUGUUCUUUUGUUUUCCUGUUAAUGGAUACAGAGGCUACAUGUAGAUAGUAAAACCCCUUCUCCUCUUUGGAAUCUUCUGAGGCAUGGUAUGUGUAGGCUCCAUUUUAGCCUUGUCUGUCCUCGAGGUAAAUGUCACAUUAAUCAUGAGAGAGGAAUUGGGCCACUCUCAAAAGGCUUGAUGUUUGAACCAAGGACAUCAGUGGCUCCAAUGAGUUGCAGAAUUUUAUCUCAUCGAUUCCUACACAGACAAAGGUUACACAUCAUCCCAAUAUGGGAUCAAAAGGUUUUACUAUUGUUUGGAAGCUGUUGAGUGUUGGAGAGAACAGGCACACCAGAAUGUGGAAGGCAGAAGGCAAUGUUAGUUGUGACUCCUCAAGCACCAUCCAUUUUGUAGUUUAAGACAGGGUCUCUUUGUCGUGGAAGUUAACUGAUUAGGCUGGCUGGCCAGACAGCACGCCCUGCGAAUCUGCCUGUCUCUAUCUCCCCAUGACUAGAAUUACAAGAGUGGGCCACUUUAUCUGGCUUUCUAAAUGUGGGCUUUGAGGGCCCAACUCAAAUUUCCAUGCUUGUGAGGCAAGCGUUUUACAAUCAAGCCACCUUCCCAGCCCCAAGUGUUUUCUUGUUUGUCCUUUUGAUUUACCAACCAAUAAAAUCUGUGUGUCACUCUCUCUCUCCACCACAACUUAUACCAUGCCAACAACUGUUCGAGAGUCACUGAGAAUCGACCAGUCAUAGGAACGCCAAGGACAUAGAUUCUCUGUUGCAGCUGGAUAGACUUGUGGGCAGGUGCAGCUCUGAAAGCCUGAACUGGCUGCUGUUCAGCUGAGUCCUUGCCACCCUGAGAGCAAGAGAUCAGGCCGGGACAAGCUUCAGAGGCCUGGUAUAAAGCCAUUGAAAAAGACAGCAGCAACUCUCAGCUAGGAAACAACCAAAGCAGUGCAGAGAGGUCACAGGGAGGAGGCACAGAUGUGUAACUUAAUGGAAACACUGAGAAAACCCCAAAGCACACGCUCAUCACUGCGCAAAUCUUGAAGAAAGUGAUUCCGUGUAAGGCAGGCUUUUAAUCAUCUCUGUCUAAGCUUUUCUUACUGCAACAGGACUUCGGCAUUUCUGCAAUGCUGGCAGCCAGUGAGCUCCCAGAAUCUGCUAUCUCUGUGCCCUCAGUGCUGCGUUACACUGAAGGCUACCAUGCCUACCUUGUACAUGGCUGCUGGAGAUGCAAACUCAUACUUGCAGAGAAAGCACUCUUCCCACAGAUCACUACCCCAGUAUCUAAAUACAGAAUAAACUUAAAGUUUACAUAAUUAAUAUUUCUGUGAAAAGUAUAUAAGCAAACUUGCAGCCCUUGAUUUAAAAGAUAUUGCUGAAAACUUAGGUUAUUUUUUAAAUCAGAGAUGAGAGCUAUCUACCAAGAAGAAAACAGAAAUAUGUGGAGUGAUCUUUAAUCCAAAAGGAGACAAAGGUUCUCAGUAUCGCCACAGUAGAGCCUGACCCAGAAGACGACCUCUUAAAUGUCAUGGAUUAUAAACACCAUCAAACUAGGAUCAGAAUUCAAAACCAAAGUGAAAAGGAGUAUUCAAAGUCAAGGGGAGCUCGGGAGGGACAGAGUCAUCGUGUUCUAACUCUAGUAGGACUGGCCCUGACCUCAGCAUGCUUUAGGAAAGAAGGGUGGAAGUGAAGACCAGAAAGUUACUCCUGCAUGGUUUAAUUAGCAUCCAUUAACUGCACUCAAGUCUCCUCAGCCCAGUCCUGACCAUCAUUGUCUAGUGUUCAAGACUAGAAAGGACAGUGUCACCUUCCCAGAAGUUUUUGGAAGUUUGGACUUUGCAAGUUGUGUGCCAAAAUCCUUAAUGGUUUUAGUGAUGCUGAGAGCCCCGUUGUAUCUCCCUAAGGCCCACUUUGUCACGUUCAGGUCAACCAACAACUGGAGCUUCUGCCUCCACCACACAUGGAUCCUCCCUCCUAGCCACGCCCUAAACACUGACUCUGGGCUGCAGGAGUUCCAAGAAGUCUGAGUCCAUGUCCUUGUAUACAGGUCUCAGGGCUUUCCUUGCUAACUCCCUCCAUAGUCUUACACGUUCAUAGUCCCAUCUAUGUGCCCUCCGAGGGCUUAAUCAGAAAUCCCAUCCCAUGAACCCAUUCCUGAUCUAUAUUGCCAGCUAAACAGGGAGGACAUAACCUACUGGUUUGUCCCAGCAGAAUAAUGGAUGCUUGAAUGCUAACUGCAUAUCUAAUACUUGCCUUUAAAUGUAAUGGGUCUUCCAUUGUCCUCUCUGAUACACUCAACUUUCUUUUUAUGUGCCCAGUUCUAUUUUCUCUUUACACCCUUCUGGGACACUUGACACUAAAUGGCUGCCACCGCGCCUUCGAAAGGUCACUGAACUUUACUGCCCACGUAUUUAUUUAUUUUCUUUGGGAAUACCAAUACAAUUCAACGAAGGCACUUCAAGUUACCAAAUGCAAUGACCUUCACCUCCUUUGCGCCGAGAGUGACACUUGGCUAAUGAUCUGCUUGGUUGGGUUUGCACAGUGCUUGCUUUAAAGACUGGGGGAGGGCAGUGAGUGGGGAGACUGGCUUCCAGGACACCCAUGUCCUCAGAAACCAAUCCCCAGAGGCUCCAGCUUUGGGCAUUAGUAGCCUGACACCCCAGCACACUUGACAAUAAAAUCUAUUGUGGUGCCAGUCAGCAGGGUGGAAGAAAUUUGAAAAUCAGUCUAGAAAUUCAGGAAGCAAUGGAAUCAAUGUAACCGAAGCUCAAAAUGCUCCCAAGGGUAUUUCACAUUGUCUUUUAAAGAAGAACAAUCCGGUUGACUCCAGCAAGGCCACGCAAAAGUGACUUUUGUGGCAAAGAAGAAGCAAAUCAGCUCAAAUACAUCUCUCUGCAAAAGUAGUUAGAAAAAAAAAUCAAUCUAUAGUUAAACUUAGUAUAUAUGUCAGAAGUAGACAUUCUUAUGAAGAGAAAAUGAUAAAAAAAAUUUUUUUCUUCCAAUUUCCACCAAAAAUCUAGCUAACCUUUUUUUGGUUUCAUGUUAAAGCCAUUGCUUUCAGUGGGGUUUAUUGUCACAGCUUUCCGAUGGCUCUUACUUGGAAAGCUGCACAUCCAGAAGGUGGGUGGAGGGAGAUCAUGCAUUCAAGGUUAUCUUUGAGGCUGACCAAAAUUGCUCAUCAAUCAGAGGCCUCAUAAAGCAAAACCAAACAAACAAAAACAAGAAUGAAAAUGGACGAAGAAGCUAAAGCACAUGGUUACCACAUAAGCCAGAAACUUCUAGAACAGUGGCUCUCAGCCUUCCUAAUGCUGCAACCCUUUUAUACAGUUCUUCAUGUGGUGACCCCCAACCAUUAAAAAAAGUUACUGCCGCUUCAUAACUAUAAUUUUGCUACUGCUGUGAAUCAUAAUGCGAAUACCCGAUAUGCAGCCUGUUUCUUUAAAGUGAACAUAGACAUGGGACUCAAUGACUUCCUAGUGACUUUUCAAAAAUCAGCCCCAAUUAAGUAUCUCCCACUUUUUGAAAGGAAAUGACGUCAUUCGAAACCACAUAACUCAAAAAGAAAUAUGAGAAAGAAAUUAUUGGCUGGAGUUUAAUGACAUGUGUACUUAGUCUGGGAAGGAUGACUGACUGUCUCAGGAAUGCAUGGUACUAGGUGCUUCUUACACCUAAAAGACAACAACAACAACAAACAACAAACAAACCAACAACAAUAACAAAAAAAACCAACCUAUGUCCAAGAAAGACUGGAUUUCUUAGGAAUGAAAAUGGAGGUAUUUUCUUUAGCUUGUAAAAAGAAAUGUAGAAAUGCAAGAAAAUGUCCCAGAAAGAAUAACAAAGACAGCACAUAACCUUGAGAAUUAAUGUCUUCAAUGGCACUGCCAAAGCUGAAUGUGUCUUUCGUCUGAAGAGAUAAUUAAGGAUCGAGUGGGACUUCAACGUUCUUCCAUUCCGUCAGCAUACCAUGGUCACUGACUAAGCUUAGGAGCAAUUAUCAAGAGGUGAGUGUUGUGCCUAUGGUUGUCAUCCCAGCCUUGGGUAGCUGAGAACAUGAGAAUUAUGAGUUCAAAGACAGCUUAUGCUAUAGAAUAAGAGUAGAGCCUACCUCAAAAAAAUUAAUUUAAAUACCUAUGUCUAUGGAAUCGCAAAUGGAGAACAAGAAUUCUCUCACUGGGGCAAGGGGAUGAGCACAAAGGUUCAGAAGGAAGAACCUAAGCACUGUAGAAGAAUGGGACAUAGAAGACUUCUUAGAGCCCACAAGCUCUCCCUAGAGAAACUACUGAGACACUUGUUCCUGAGUCCUUUGAACAUUAAUUCCAAGAUUUAUGAUAUUGAGGAAUCUCUCCUCUGUCCUUAAAACUCAUAUUAUCACUUCUGAGGAGAUUGACUUGAGAGAACCUGAAAACAUGAGUAACAUACUCAAUCAUUCGUUCAUUUGUUUGUUUGUUUCCUUAUUGCAUUUCCCAUUGUUUCUGGCAAUGCUGGGGGUUGAAUUUAGGGUCUCCUGCAUGCUAGGCUAAGGCUCUACCACUGAGCCCCAGCUCUUGUUUCGUUCUAAGAAACAAAAGGAGAGUCAGAAAUCUGGGCCUCUCUCCUGGAUGUGGUUCUAACCAUGUGUAUAAUUCAAGGCCCUGCUAAGCAUGUGCCGUAUCAGUGUCCUUCCCUCCAAAAUGUCUGCCCUUAAAAGGGCAACUGUGAAACAGUAGUAUUACAUGAAUUGUAUACAAUGCCUAUGAUACUGUUAGAAUAACAGCUAGACCAGGCAAGGGCAUAAAUGGAUAGAAAUUUCAAAUGUUCUUGUCCAAGGAAAACUCACUUUCUGUACUCACAUUACAAACACAGAGCCCACAAUCCACAUGACACAAAUCUAUCACUACUGCACACUCAUUGUGACAGUCAGCAUUUUCUUCCUAAACUAGAAAGUCACCAUCAUGAACUAGAAUAUACUACAGUGUAGUGGGAUCUAAUCAUAUGGAAUCAAUGCAAUAACUAAAUAAAAUAAACAGAUAAUGGCCACUCACAGACACAGAGUUACAAUGUAUCAUGUCAAGGAAUCAACUAAACGAUAGACUUAACACAGAGCUGAAAGACGGAUUUGAAACAAAUAGGAGCCCUGGCUAGGGAAGUCUCUCUCUUACUGUUUGUUCAUUCAUCUGUCUUAGGUUUUUAAGCAGAAUUUCAUGUUGAACUGGGAACCCAGUCAUUUUAUGAUUCACCCCGCCUAAUUGGUGAAACCUGUCUAGUGUUCGUGUUUAUAAACCCAACAAUGACCAUUCUCCACCAGGAUGAAGGGUUUCACAAUGUCACUCACAGCUACCUCUGUCCUUUAAAGUCCCUCAGUAAGGGAGCAGGAGGUGUUCUGAGCAGAAUGAAGAAGUCCAGGUUCCAGGGAACAGAGAAAUUCUGACUGGGAUGGGAGCCACUGUCUCCAGAUAAUUAACUCGAACUGUAAAAAUAAGACAUCACUUGCUUAAUACAGAUCUUAGAAAGCUAUGCAGACUGGAGGUUUAGUUACAGGGUACCUGGGCAGAGGAAAUUCCAUUUAAAAAUAUAAGAUAAUUUUAAUUAUGGUCUGGAGUUUGGAAUGUAGGUGUUCUAUGAUUUCUAAUCUCCCAGUCCUGCCACGGACAGUUUCCUUGUCUCCUGUCUGUCUGGCAGAAGCAGGAAAUACCUUCAUAGAAAGCCAGGCCUCUAGGUCAGAGGUGAAUCUCUGUCUCUAACCUUCCGAGUUCCGUCCCGUUUUCCGGGAUUUUAGUAUCUUCUUCCGCCUGCCUCAGGCACCCUGCCUGCCUACACACUCCCUUCAUAAGGAAGAAAGCUCGACAUAAAGUUGAGAUUUGACCCUAGAUUUAGUUUCCCCCAAGGAUUUACGCUAGAUCAUCGUCUGGUGACGUGUCCACCAUGCAGACAGCAUUGUAAGACGAGGCACCCCACCCCAGUGACUGACAGGACUGCGCUCAAGCUUCUCCCAAGGAACUGCACUGAGCUAGAGAAAAUGGGCUCUCAGGAGUUCGCAACUUCCUUCCCGGGGGACAGCCCAUACUCAGGCCCUGAUGGUACAGGGUCAUCCCGACUGUUCAUAUUUCAGGCUCAGAACUUCUGAGGUGGGUGGCUGAGGACUGUGUUCUCCCUCUGUCCCUUCCUAUUUCCGUCUUGUCCACGGUGGGUGCUUAUCACAAAGGCAUUCCACGAGACUUCUCCAACACCCUCGCCCACGUCUCAGAGUCUCAGUGAAUCAUUUGGCAUGCCACCUUUACUUUUCUUAUGACCCAAAAUGUCCCACCAGCACUCAGCAUAUAUCACUAUUAUACCAGAAUUAAAACUGCCCAUUUAAUUUAUAAAAAUUAAACCAACCCCUAAUUUCACCACAAUAGACCAUGUAUUGGCAACAUUCACAAUGAGGAAAAGAUAAUAGGUAUUUUAAUAACUGUAGGUCACACAAUCUGUUGUCACUGACUCAACCCAGCUGUUAUACUACAUUUUUAAUAUGUGAGAAAACAGAUAUCACUUUAUCCCAACCAAAUUUUAUUUAGAAGUAGUUGGAAGGGUAGAUCCCCCCCCCCCACAUAAUUGUUGGUGAACUCUGAAUUCAUGGUUAGCAAGCAGUACUAGAGACACUGCCCAGUGCUUAAGAGUACACGCUGCUCUUGUAGAAGACCUGAGUUCAGUUUCCAGCACAUACAUAGGGCACACCACGAUCACUUAGACCUCCAGCUCCAGGUGAUUCAAUGUCCUCCUCAUGGUUAGGGUGUACGUUUCCUCCUUGUAGGGAUUCCAAUGUUCUGACUACUUCUAUUUUUGCACUACCUUCUACUAGAACCUCAAUAUUCUCUAUUUUUCCAUUUUAUCAUGGAAAAUGAGUAAUAGAGUUGGCCUGGGUAUAAGAUAUGCAGCUUCUAACUUACAACUUACUAAAAACACCCAAUCAUAUGUGAACACAUCAGUAUGACAGAAUUGGGAGGUCUGGAAGCAUUUUCAGCAAGGCAGUGGCCUCUUGGUAGUCCUUCCAUAUCACCAGAGGAACACCAAUAUAAAGUGAGCACAUAUUUGUCUCCAGUGUAGAAGGGAAAUCACUCCAUUUUAAAGCAAACAUUGCUAAGCAUAUGUUUCUGUUCACUUCUGUCUUUGUCCUAAGGGUAUGUAGAGUUUUCUGAAAUACACCAUCCAUUUAUUUUUUUUUUCAUGGAAAAUUAACCAAUGAGUCAAAGACAUAUGCACUAGCUCUAUAAACAUAAUAUCUGUCUAGAUUAAUCCAGCAAACAUGCAAAUGUAAAGUCAUCACGGUGACUGGACAAGUUCUUACUAACUUGCAAAUGGGAGUGGGGGGCAUUCAGAAAGACUCAGCUAAGUCGUACAUGAAGUAAUGAUUGAAAAGAAUGAAUUAAAAAAAGAUGGAAGGGGGAAAAGUACCUCAGAAAAAGGAAUCCACACUUGUGGUCUGGCAGCAAUGAGAACCUAUUGUGAUUUAAGCAAAGUUGCUCUAUGGAAAGAAGGCUCUAGUUCUACUGUGGAAAAUAACUGAGAGAGUUCUUGAUGACCAAUCAGAAGGUCAACACAGUCAUCUAUGACGGAGAGGACAGGAGACUGCAGACAUGGAAAGCAAGGGACAGAUCUCCUGAUACACAGACUUCAUCAAAAGGAUGUGACAGCGUAGGCCGUAUGAGAAGAGUCAAGAAGAGAUAAGAGAACAAGAAAUCUAAGAAGGAGAGCGGACCUGAGAAAAUAGCAUCAGUAGAUCUUUUCAUGUACAGGUGAUCAAAAAAUUAAAAACAAUAACCAUUGGCUUUAACCAUGCAGUGGCACUUUCAUGGAUGACGGAGAGCAAAAGAAAUGGUAACAAUAAAGACAAAUAACCGUUUAAAGAAAAUACUGUGGAGCCUAAAGAAACUCAAGCAAAAGAUUUUGGAACAUUGAAGGAAGCAAGUACACUGGAAAAUAGAAAGAGCCUUCUAGAUAUGGAGAUGUUGGGUAUAUGGCAAGAUAAAAGAAUGGGCCAUCGAGAAGGUCACUUUCCCAAAAGGAUGGGAAGGGGUUGGGUGUGAAGUAAUGGUAGCAGUAUUGAAGGGCUAGCCCCAAGGAACAGAAAGAGGGAAGACGUCAUGGAUGCAGGCCAAAACAAGCAAACAACCAAAAGAAGCCAUCACAUUUUCCAUGUCCGGAACACCUGAAAGUUGAAGGAGUUCCCAUCUGAUAGCGUUUAUUUUAUUUAUGACACAGGAGACGAGGUAUUCAGCUGACAGAUGAAGCAAGAAGGGUCAGAGUAGUGGGAAGAGAGGGGUCAGAUGUUUCAACGGUAGAGAGCAUUUGAAGGAGACAUUGUGGAAACUGAGGAACCUAGUUAAUCCAGAAACACGAUUAGACGGCAGAGCUCUGAUAUCCCAUUCGACCUGUGACAUGAAUUUAGAGCGACACCCAAACGCCUUAUCAUUUCAAUUUUAAAACCAGAACGUCUGAGUUCUAGAUUCCUCGACCAUGAUUCUUUUUGACCAAUCCAUCUCUCCUAUUAAAAAGAGAGUACAAGGGGGUUGAGGAUUUAGCUCAGCGGUAGAGCGCUUGCCUAGCAAGCGCAAGGCCCUGAGUUCGGUCCCCAGCUCCGAAAAAAAAAGAAAAAAAAAAAGAAAAAAGAAAAAAGAGAGUACAGGAUCUAACCUAUGUUGAGCAAUCACACAAAUUAAUAAUUUCACACUUACAACCCCUUAUGUGGUACUACAUCUGUUUUAUGAAGAGAGAACAAAAGAUCACAUUUGUGAACCGUGGGUUAAAAUCAAAAGCAGACUCUGCACCUGUUAGGUUAUUUGCUGUGGUCCUCUCAGAGAACAGAACAUGAAGCCAACCCCACCUGCCACUCCCAAAGAAGCAUCAAACCAUCUGCUUCCAAAGGUUCCCAAAGCUUCCAAGUUAAUGAUGUACUAGCUGCUGUGCUCAGCUUAAGGCCAAAGGAUUAAACAAGUCAUCCCUUUUCUUGGUAUCACCCACACUUUAAACCGGAAGACUGUGUCUACCCAACCGCCACAUUCCACAUAGUAACCCAACUUCAUUGUGUUAAGCUGAGCAGUAGCUUUGACAGUCUAACAGACGGUGGUGGGAUAUUUUCAUAAAUCAGAGCCUAAGAAUGGCAACGAUGUAUCACUGUCAGUGCACCAACCCCCUUUCCCCUCCAAGUAAGGCUUCGGAAUGAUAGGCCUCGUAUUGGUUUCCUAAGGAAAUUAGGUAAAAUUGUACUAAAUCCAAAAUCACCAGUAAUCUGUUCUAGAUCUAACAUGGUCUCCGUGGGGCUGAGAGCAAUACACAGGAGACUCUAGCUCGGUGCUUCUCCUUCAUGAUGAUGAGAAGCUCUUAAUUACAGAAAAAACAUCUGAUUGUGCAUGAAGAGUGAUUCCCUCUCCAAUCCAUUUCAGUACAGACACAUCUAGAUUUCAACAUGAUCAACGGUUUUUUCAUAGACCUAUGGAUAACACACGUUUCACUUGGUGAUGUUAAAAUACUGUCUACGAUACUGAGACAUACGGUCCUCUCAAGAACUCCAUCACCCUUACCCACUCACUGAGAUCCUUCUCCUCCGAGCUUACCUUUGAGUUCCAAUUGUUGAAAUACAAUCUUGUGAUGUUCGUAUCUUGGUAACUAGAUAAAAACCGAAGGCUAGCCCUGACACUCAGCCCACAACAUCCUAAGGGUUUUUUACGUUUCCCAAGAACCUGGACAUGGUCAUUCUUGCCUAACACUCAUAGUUCAGAGAUGAAACAACAAGAGAGCUAGAAAACUAGACUCACUUGUCCAAAACCACACUACCAGCUAGGCAGUGGGCAUAGAGCAGCAGUCCUCUUUGUACUGCUGAGAAGACUUCUGCUCUAAACAGGGAGUGGCAAUUGAACUCGAAAGGAUCGACUAGUAAUUCAGGACUCUGAAAAUGACUCUAAGGAAAUUAAAGAGAAAACUUAGAAAUGGAAAGAAACAAUAAAAGUCAAAUGUCUCUUCCUGACCCAACAGCUUAAAAGAAGCAAGAUGUUAGUGUGCUGCUGUUGCCGCUGCUACUGCUAACAUCACUGCCGCUGCUGCUCUGGGCUGGGAGAUCAAGAGCCCUACACUCAAACAGCUCACGCUCCAUGUUCUCUGAAAGGAAUUGGUCAGAGGAAGGAAAGCAAAACGCUUUCUCUUGUGCUUUUACAAAUGAAACUUCUACUUGCUUCUAAUAACAAAAAGUGCACGAGGGGGAGUCUACCUCUGAAGCUACAUUUUAAAAGCAGGGACACAGCCCUUCUACCAUAGGACUAGCUAGCCUUGGACCGUUGGCCCUCAAAACUGACCUGCUAAUCAUGGCUUUGGUGCAACAGCAGCAAACGUCCUUUAAGAGCCCAUUGAUGAUCUUCAGAAAGGUACUCAAAGUGUCGCUCAUUUUAGAAAUGAUUUCCGGUGAAAUCAGUGAGAAGUCAUGCUCCAGCCCUUGCUGCCUGUAACCUCACCCCUUGUUUGCCACAUUCAAAUAUGUCUUCAUGAAAUAAACUAAAGAGGUUUCACUCCAUGGAGUCCAAACUUUGAAGUUGUUCAUCCCCUCGAAUUCAAACCUGAAAGCCCCUCCCACGGGUCACUUCAAAUCCACCAAAUGUAAACAGGAUUGCACACUGGACCAUUCACCACCUUGGAGUUCAAGCCCUCAACCAACAUGCCCAAGGCUGGGUUGCUCUUCUUAUUCUCUUUUCAUCCUAAUUCUAGAUCUUCUAGUUCUUCAUUCAUUCAUUCAUUCAUUCAUUCAUUCAUUCAUUCAGUUUUUGAAGGACCUCAACCUUAUUUCCCAUGAGGAAUCAAAGGCAAUCAAACCCAUGGAAGUGCACAGAGGAAGACGGUUGCCAGUUGGGGAGAAGGAGCGAGUGGGAGUUGUUCAGGAUGUCUAGACUUUCAGUUGAGGCAAGAUGAGAAGAUUCUAAAAGUCUGCUUACAAUAGAAUGCCUAUAAGGAGCAGUCCUGUAAACUAUCUUAAAUCUACAAGGGCAGAUUUCAUACAAUAUGUCAU
Molecule: non-coding RNA, 12395 nt
Organism: Rattus norvegicus (Norway rat)
Lineage: Eukaryota; Metazoa; Chordata; Mammalia; Rodentia; Muridae
Source: RefSeq, a predicted model, not a curated record